Long non-coding RNA from Ostrea edulis (European flat oyster), 6473 nucleotides. RefSeq lists it as uncharacterized. The record is from RefSeq and is a predicted model, not a curated record. Lineage: Eukaryota; Metazoa; Mollusca; Bivalvia; Ostreida; Ostreidae. The transcript is spliced from 6 exons.
UACAGAGCUUGGUAUAGUAUCUACAGAAAUUAUUUUCCCUAGUAAUUCAGACUUGACAACAACAACUAGAGAGCCUCCAGACACGGGCGUGGUCUCUACAGCAGUGAUGCUCCCUGGUAGGCGAUCAACUUACUUUAGUGAUCCAGACAUGACAACAGCUGCUAAAAGAAAUCCAGAUACGGGCAGUUUGCUCUCUACAGCAGUGAUGUUACCAGGUAUUUAUAGGCGGUUAAUAUUUACUAAAUGUUCUAGUAUUGUUUAAUUGUAUAACUAUCUAUUUAAUGCAUGAAUCUUGUUCAUGUUUAAUAUAUAUUCACUUCGUAGCAUUGACGAUGUUAAAUUGAUCGCUGAUUAAAAGUUUAUGAAACUAAAAAUGCACAGAAAAUUCACACACACACACACACACACACACACACACACACACACACACACACACACACAUACAUACAUACAUACAUAUAUAUAUAUAUAUAUAUACAAACGGAGAUAUUUAUGACUUGUUGUAAACAGAUUCAUGACUAAAAUUUUGAUUAUUUAUAUUGCAACCAUUUUCGCAAUGAUACAUUCAAUGUUGUUAAAUGAACCUGAUCAAAAGAAAUGGUAACGAUAUCGAAGAAUAUGUCAUAACAAUGAAUAACAAACCAAUUAUAUUACACGUGAACAUCAUAUUGUUGCGGUAUUAAGAAUAUCUUAAAACUUGUGUCACUAGAGUUGACAAAUCUGUUCUUUGUUACUACAGGUAUCAGUACAAUGAUAUCGAUAUCAGCAAGUUUAUAUAUAUUUUUGAUACAGAGAAAAUGGAUUUUUGUAAUUGUUGAUUAAUCUAAUUUUUUGACGACAUCAUCAUGAUACCAACAACAUUGACCUGAUACAAUGUUUUUGGAUAUAUAAAUGUACGAAUAAACAUAUAAAAAGCCAGGCUAGGAUAAAAAGACUACGAUAAUGAUGCGUGUAUUAGAGUUUUGAAAUAAAAUGUGGUACCAUUCAUCUACUGCUCCCUGCCAAACAAAGUGAGAUUUAUCUCCCUGUAGUCAACACGGGUAAGUAUCUGUUAUCACUACAAUUUAUAUAAUCGAUUCCCUUUAUAGCUGAGCAUACAAUUCAUAUAUAGUUCGUGUUCACUUGGUAUACGUGCUCAUGUCUGAUUUAUACACGAUUUUGUGGAUGUCCAUAUUGCAGGUAUGGAAGAUAUUACUUCAGCAGGAUUGAUACAAUGCUACAUCAGGUUUCUGGUACUGUUACAAUAAUGUUGUAGCAGCAAGCUUCUUCGUCAAAGGCUGGCACACCCAAUAUCUAUAGGCCUUUUAACGCCCCCUUUUCUGACUUUUUCCAACUUGUACAUAUGUUUGGGUCUAUUUUUUAUAUGCCAAAUAUACCAUAAUUUGUCACUAGUCAUGAUAUGUCAGAUGACACAUAUUUUGUUCUCAGGUGCUAAUUUUGAGAUGUGACAAUUUGUCAUUAUACAUUGUCUGUACAUUUUACUUGUAUGUAACUUUUACUUAUAUUUGAAUCCUAGUUUGUGUUCCCUUUACUGUCAUUUAUUGUAUAUGUAAUAAAUGACCUAUUCUAUUCUUUAAAAGGUGUGAUGUUUUUUUAUUUAAUACAGGCAGACAGGUAUAAAGACAAAUCGAUAUGGUACAAUGUUUUGGACAUACACGGGGAUCCAGGGGGGGGGACAAUGCGGUUUAAAUGAGUAUUGAUAACAAAACUUGGUGGAAAGUGAGAGAGCGAGGUGUUGUGGGAUGAUUUUGUUGUCAACACUUGUGUGAGUAACACUGAGCUUAAGGUAUUCAUUACAGACGGUUUGUAUUCAUAUUGAUGGACGACAUCGGAAGACAUUUGAUACUAUGCCUCGUUCACACGAAGAAUUUAAUUACAUUUAAUGCGAAUUGAUUCUGAACCGCGUUCACACGGAGAUUGUAAUGCGCAUUAGUUUGCUUCGAAUUAAAGUUUACGUCGCGAUUUAAUGCGAAUUAAAACUUGGCAUUAGCUCCGUGUGAACGCAAAGCGAAACUAAUUUGCAUUAAAUGUACUCGCAUGCAUAAUAGCAAAUUUGGGUCCCAUGCCUCAUACCCGUGGUCAGCUAUAUAUAUUAAUGUUAGAUUUGUGCGAAAAACUAAUCAAAAUGAUAAUAAUCACUAAAAAAAAAACAUGUACAAACAUGCAGCAUGUCAUUAGAUAAUGUCAGACGUAAAUAUGUGCUCUGCAUAGUCAUACUGAGUAAUAAAUAUGGAAACAAUUGCUUUUAGAUAAGACAAAAUCGUUUUACAAUAAUGAUCAUAUGAUUUUCUUUUUUUUACAUUUUAACAAAUAUGCCUCUCAUUGUUAAAUUCUUUUCAUACUAUAUUCUCCUUCAAUGUAGAAAUCAAAAAUACACUUCCCAAAACAUUGACAUUACUUUAAAUCUCAGGUGUGAAGUAGUAUGUUUACACCAAUGGGAUGAGUAUUGAACCAGUAAAUACUUAGUUGUAGCAUCCUGUGCAGUUGUGCUCAAAAGCUCAGGAGCUAACUUCCUUAAGUUAAAAUUCAUAACUUUGACACAGCGUCUGGAUCCAUGACCCCGAGGUUCCCGAUUCGCAUAGUGUAGUGAAGUGUCCUGUACUUCGUGCUAAAUGGAAUGCAUUAAAUGUACAUGGUUGGUUGUAUAUUGUUUAACGUCCCUCUCGAGAAUCUUUCACUCAUAUGGAGACGUCACUAUUGCCGGUGAAGGGCCGCAAAAUUUAUGUCUAUGCUCGGCGCUUACAACCUUUGAACAGGGAGGGAUCUUUAUCGUGCCACAUCUGUUGUGACACGGGAUCUCGGGUUCUGCGGUCUCAUCCAAAGGACCGCCUCAUUUAGCUGCCUCUUACGAUAAGCAAGGGGUACUGAGGACCUAUUCUAACCGAGAUAUCCACGGGACUAAAUAAUCAUAGGAAUAGGAAACAAAAUGGUGUAGUAUAAAGUCAGGUAAUGGAAACGUCAUUUCCUGAGUGACACAUUGAUGGAGAUAACUACUACAUGGAUUACAUUUACUAUCACUGUGUGUCCAGGUAGAUAACAGAAAAGAAAUCGAUAUUCCAACAUCAAUAGGCUGAAAAUAGGAGCCAGUAACCAGCGGCCAAUCAGAAGCUAGCAACCUACAGCUGUAUAAUAAAAUCCAUCAGAUCAAUUACUGACAGAAUACUAAAAAUCAUCGAUCCAAAUUGAUAAUAUUUCAAACAAUUGAUAGAUUUAUUGAGCUCACCCGAAAGUUCCUAAUGUUACAUCCCAUAGGGUCGUAAUAAAGGUAAUGACAACUUCAUCUUUGUAGAAUUCACGACAGAAGUAUGGACACCUAGUAGGGUACUCUUUGGACUAUCAUUUCCUGCCCUCAGUUUGGGGCUAUAGGGGUGUCACGUGGGUGGAAUCACUUUUCAGACCUCCGUAAUGAUUUGAUGGCAUGCUUAAGAGAUAGACAACAAUGUAUACGAACCCAUGAUUGAAAGAUUGUCAAUUUUGAUCGAUUAUUUCAUAAGUUUUAGCAUUCUGUCUGAGUACUCUCAGUUCUUUGAUGAAUUUUGUUAUUGGUUGCUAGCUUCUACGGGCUAUUUGGUUGCUGGUAGUAGCUGCUAGUUUCAGCUUAGUUCCAACCAGUUUACUAAGCCCGUCAUCCCAUUUAGCAUAAUUGCCGUGGUUGCUUUAUUCUACCAUUUGGUUUAAUAUGUCAAAGUAUAAGACAAUCCUCACACUGCUGCUGUAAUCACUACCGGGAUAUUUUCGACCCCGGUGCCACGUCAAACUCAUGUCACGGUAGACAUUAGCACAGUAAUAAACUCUUACUGCUAGGAUAAUACGGCGCCAUUUCACUCAUGUCACGGUAGACAUUAGCACAGUAAUAAACUCUUACUGCUAGGAUAAUACGGCGCCAUUUCACUCAUGUCACGGUAGACAUUAGCACAGUAAUAAACUCUUACUGCUAGGAUAAUACGGCGCCACAUCAACCUUAUGUCACGGUACACAUUAGCACAGUAAUAAACUUAAACUCUCUCUCUCUCUCUCUCUCUCUCUCUCUCUCUCUCUCUCUCUCUCUCUCUCUCUCUCUCUCUCUCUCUCUCUCUCUGACAGACCGACCGACCGACCGACAGGUGCGAAGGAAUAUGCCCCUCUUCUUUGAACGGGUAUAUCAAUUCGUCAUAUGAUUAUGAAAAGUAUUGUAUUCUUAUUGUUAUGUUUUUGUCAGAAAUUUAAUACCUCCCCUGAUUGAAGACAUCCUCAUUGGCACAGGUGAAGUGUGCCGCAGUCUGUACAAUGGAAUGACAACGUCUGGUUCUGUCGAGAUACAAAUGGAGUUUAUCAUUUUGUUUCGUGGGCUUAAAUCAGAAUAAAGAGAAUCUAACAUUUUCGGACGAUGUGCAUUGAACUGUUUUGUAAUACAGAGAAUAGACUAUUGUUGAAAAGAUCAGCCCCACUGAAGGGACCUGGUUUCUGGUUGUACUACUGGUUUGUAUGGGACAUACGAAGCGCCACCUGGGGACACGGCAUUGGACGUCAUAGUGUGGAGGAAGCGAUAUCGAGACUCAAUCAAACUUUCUGUGUAGGUGAUAUCUAGCUGCAAAAUUGUAGCUCUCUGAAAAAAUAUUGUGACGGAACAGAGAGCUACAGAUCCAACCCUUAUAAAAACCUUCGAUUUACGGCGCGUAAAAAGCUGCGCACGGUUGAGGUAUGAUAUCGUUGUAUUCUUGUGUUGCUGUCUCAUAAACCUAAUAUAAAAGAAUUCAUAGCAUAUUUUCCUACUAUACUUGUGUCCAAACAUACCUUGAACUAUUCAUUAAAGCCCCAUACGAUCCGAAAACUUACAGCUUCAAGUGAUUUCGUUUGUUGACGUAGCCAUGUUAGGUAGCCCGGUCAAUUCGAACCCUGUUGCUGUUGGUACAUGUAUCUCUUCAUAAAAUUCGUUAUAAGUUGUGUAUUCGCUCUUCAUUUAUCAUCAACACGAAUAAUUAAUAGAAAUUAAAAAAAAAUAUAGUUUUUCUAAAGGUAAAAUAAGUCGAAUAUGGUCCUUAACACUCAUGGGCAGGGAUGGAGACCGAACCAGACUAAUGAAAGCCACAUUGUCGUGAAUUUAGCUAUUUAAAUGAAUAUUAUUUAAAGGAACUGAGAUGAUAUAUUAUCUAAAAUAUAUAGCUAAAAUAUUUGUGCGGAUAUUAGUUCACACCUAGACGUAAUUGUGCAAGUAUGGAAAUUAAUCGGGAUUCGAAUUGACCGGCCACCUAAUAUGUCUACGUCAACAAACGAAAUCAUUUGAAGUUAAUUUAAGUUUAUACUUCCAAGCAUAGGGGCUUGCUCCCAUUAAAAAUGUAGACAAACAAUACUAUAUUUACAACGUAGUAUUGUUUACAAUUCUUAACGGGAGUAAACACCUGUUUUCAAAGUGCAUACAUCAGAAAACAUUGAAAAUUGUGCGACAGUUUGAAAUAUUCAGGUAAAUAACCACCUGACCAGACAAGAGGUCAUGGUACUAGAAACGCUCACCCAAGGAAUUUUACACAAUUUGCAUGUAUGAGUUUAUAUGCAAUCUUUGGAAAGUAGGUCAAGGCAAGUUCAAGGCCAUAUAUUUUGCUUGCUUCACGUUCCUUUCAAAAUAUUUCAUACAUUUUGAGACGUCACCAGCUGUAAGUGAAGUGUCACAAAUUCUGACCAAUAGCACUAAGGACUGUAGCAGUGAUGAAUUCUUUAACAUGCCAACACCUGCCGCGACAUGGGCCCUCCAUUUUAAGAAUUUCACAUCUAAAAGCCAAGGAUUUGGUGAAGGAGCAAAAAAGAAACUCAGGAGCUACAAUUAAGGCUUCACGAUUUCCACUUCUAUUGUUCGAGACUUAACCUAUGUGAACAAUGAAACUCAGAGCACCAUUCCAACCUUGUCAGUUACUCGCCAGAGAAUGAAGGUAACUUAAUGGCCAGAGAGGAAGAAACCCUGACUACAUCCAGUGACAAAUUCACAAACGAUCUCGGCAAAUUAUACUUCACAGAAAAUAUUCCUCAAUGAUAUAUACCAAUAAAAUAACUGGAAUGUAACAUUGCCCCAUAAAACAAACCCUUCAAUCUCUGUGCAUAAUUUUGAUAAAGAAAAUGUUUUCUGCAAGUGGAAAUUUGUGAGUUUUAAUUGUUACAGCAAAAUUAAUCAAACAUAUAUAUUUAUAUGUAUGACGGAUGACAAAACAAAUAUAAUCGAGGUGCCUUUUAGCAAGCAUUCAAGGCAACAUUGUUCCUACUUUACAGAAGAGAUGAUAACUGAUAGCUAGCAUAUUGUAUCUAACUGUUUAUUUCAAGAAAUUUAAGACAUGAAAGAAAAUGGCUACAUUAAAGAGGCAUUGAAUUCUACUGACAGAUAAACACUGUGUGUUUGAGAAUGUAAGAUGCUGCUGAGAUUAACACUGUGUACUCCACUACUACUUCAGAAUGAAAGAUAAUGCUGAGUACGGAUGAUAAUUUGUCCUCUUUUUCAUCAUCAGAUC